This 112-nucleotide transfer RNA is filed under the name Tuber borchii (whitish truffle). It matches the Rfam family "tRNA". Rfam says of the family: Transfer RNA (tRNA) molecules are approximately 80 nucleotides in length. Their secondary structure includes four short double-helical elements and three loops (D, anti-codon, and T loops). Lineage: Eukaryota; Fungi; Ascomycota; Pezizomycetes; Pezizales; Tuberaceae. The record is from Rfam by way of RNAcentral.
GGAAGGAUGGCCGAGCGGUUAUGGCGUGUGACUCAAGCGAUUAGCUUCUUCACUUCUAAAGUGGGGUUUCUCAUGGGCUUUGCCCGCGGGGGUUCGAAUCCCCCUCCUUUCA